UUGAGAGUUUGAUCCUGGCUCAGAACGAACGCUGGCGGCAGGCCUAACACAUGCAAGUCGAGCGAGACCUUCGGGUCUAGCGGCGGACGGGUUAGUAACGCGUGGGAACGUACCCUUUUCUGCAGGAUAGCCACUGGAAACGGUGAGUAAUACUGCAUACGCCCUUCGGGGGAAAGAUUUAUCGGAGAAGGAUCGGCCCGCGUUAGAUUAGAUAGUUGGUGGGGUAACGGCCUACCAAGUCUACGAUCUAUAGCUGGUUUGAGAGGAUGAUCAGCAACACUGGGACUGAGACACGGCCCAGACUCCUACGGGAGGCAGCAGUGGGGAAUCUUAGACAAUGGGCGCAAGCCUGAUCUAGCCAUGCCGCGUGAGUGAUGAAGGCCUUAGGGUCGUAAAGCUCUUUCGCCUGUGAAGAUAAUGACUGUAGCAGGUAAAGAAACCCCGGCUAACUCCGUGCCAGCAGCCGCGGUAAUACGGAGGGGGUUAGCGUUGUUCGGAAUUACUGGGCGUAAAGCGCGCGUAGGCGGACAUUUAAGUCAGAGGUGAAAUCCCAGGGCUCAACCCUGGAACUGCCUUUGAUACUGGGUGUCUUGAGUUCGAGAGAGGUGAGUGGAAUUCCGAGUGUAGAGGUGAAAUUCGUAGAUAUUCGGAGGAACACCAGUGGCGAAGGCGGCUACCUGGACCAAUACUGACACUGAGGUGCGAAAGCGUGGGGAGC
This 718-nucleotide ribosomal RNA is filed under the name Bathycoccus prasinos. RNAcentral describes it as "partial Bacterial small subunit ribosomal RNA". It matches the Rfam family "Bacterial small subunit ribosomal RNA", at positions 1 to 769 of the family's 1533-position model. Lineage: Eukaryota; Viridiplantae; Chlorophyta; Mamiellophyceae; Mamiellales; Bathycoccaceae. The record is from RNAcentral.